GGCUUCUUGAUCCUAUGUGUUGUAUUGAGUGUUGGUCACUGGUCUUUGGGAAGCUUGGACAGAAGUGGGGCAGCCAUGGAGCUGCUGACUGGGACUGGCCUGUGGCCCGUGGUCAUAGUCACAGUCAUCUUCAUAUUACUGGUGGACAUGUUGCACCGGUGCCAGCGCUGGACUUCUUGCUGCCCACCAGACCCUGUGCCAUGGCCUGUGCUGGGUAACCUGCUGCAGGUGGACCUGGAUAACAUGCCAUAUAACUUGUACAAGCUUCACAACCGCUAUGGUGACGUGUUCAGCCUGCAGAUGGGCUGGAACCACAUGGCCGUGAUCAACGGACUGAAGGUGAUACAGGAAGUGUUGGUGACCUGUGGAGAGGACACUGCUGACCGCCCUGAAAUGCCCAUCUUUCCACACCUAGGCUAUGGGCAAAAAGCUAAAGGCAAAGGCUGUGUGGGGGCAGAGAUGGCAUCAAAGCCAGACAAGGGGGGACAGUGAGCAAAGGAAGGUCAGAUCAUGAUGCAGGUGGUAAUGUAGUUAAGCAUUGCAGCAGAAAGUCACAGAAAUCCAUUGUGGAGCCUCCUGAGCAUGGUGGAGGGUGGUAGAGACAUGUACUGGAGGAAGGGUGAGGUAUGGAGGACACCGACAAAGAAGAGAAAUGAAGGUGGGAGGGGGCACCAAAGCCAGGUGUCCUUGGUUUUACACAGAUGUGUCUGCAGGUGUGGUCCUUGCUCCUUAUGGGCCUGAGUGGAAAGAGCAGAGGUGAUUCUCUGCGUCGACCCUGUGCAACUUCAGCCUGGGCAAGAAAUCACUGGAGCAGUGGGUGAUGGAAGAGGUUGGACACCUCUUUGAUGUCUUCACUGCCCAUGCUGAGGAGGCUGUAGACAAGAGAUUUGGAAAGAACACAUCUAGAAGUGUCCACCACAGUAAUAGGAGCCUGGAGAUUGACAUACAGCAAAAGGAAGUGAGAAGCUGACCAAGGUCAGGGCUUCUAGAAGCUGAGACCCUGGCCCUCUGCCCACAUGGAACAUCUGUGAGAUUUUCCAGGGUUGGCUGACAAAGUCUUCCCUGGGCAAAAGACAUUUCUCAUAAUGGUGGAUAAGCUGGUGACUGAGCACAAGAGGACCUGGAACUCGGACCAGCCGCCUCGAGACCUGACUGAUGCCUUUAUGGCUGAGAUGGAGAAGGCAAAGGGAAACCCUGAGAGUAGCUUCAAUGAUGCAAAUCUAUGUCUGGUUGUCCUUGACCUGCUGGGUGCUGCAACUGUGACCACCUCAACCACACUGUCCUGGGCCCUGCUGCUUAUGAUCCUGCAUCCGGAUGUGCAGUGUGAGCCUGGCUGGGGCUGUCAAGAAAGGAGGAGGAGGGUAGAGGCAAACUCCUUAAACUUACUUGGGACACUUGUAGAUCCCAGCAUUGAGUUAACCCAGACUGCAGCCAAGUACAACAGGAAAUCGAUGAGGUCAUUUGGUAUGUGUGGCUUCCAGAGAUGGCAGACCAGGUCUGCAUGCCCUUCACCAAUGCUGUCAUUCAUGAGGGCAUGACUCUCAUCUCCAACCUGUUCCGUGCUGAAGGAUGAGACUGUCUGGGAGAAGCCCCUUCGCUUCCAUCCUGAACACUUCCUGGAUGCCCAGGGCCACUUUGUGAAGCCUGAGGCCUUCAUGCCAUUCUCAGCAGGCCACAGAUCAUGCCUGGGGGAGCCCCUGGCCCUCAUGGAGCUCUUCCUCUUCUUCACCUGCCUCCUGCAGCGCUUUAGCUUCUCAAUGCCAGCUGGACAAUCCCUUCCCAGUGAUUAUGGCAUCUAUACAAUGCCAGUUACUCCAGCACCUACCAGCUCUGUGCAGUGGUUUGCUAGCAGGGGCAGUGGCUCCAGCCAUCAUCACAGAUUGUUCUGACUGAUGUCCAAUAAACAAGUUUUGUGUCUGAAUC
RNAcentral lists this long non-coding RNA (1923 nucleotides) under Mus musculus (house mouse). RNAcentral's name for it is "novel transcript". Lineage: Eukaryota; Metazoa; Chordata; Mammalia; Rodentia; Muridae. The record is from RNAcentral.